This 64-nucleotide transfer RNA is filed under the name Blattella lituricollis (false German cockroach). RNAcentral describes it as "tRNA-His". RNAcentral also lists the same sequence under 1 other name. Lineage: Eukaryota; Metazoa; Arthropoda; Insecta; Blattodea; Blattellidae. The record is from RNAcentral.
ACUUAAGUAGUUUAUAUAAAAUAUUGAUUUGUGGUGUCAGUGAAAUAGAUAUCUAUCUUAGGUC